This 440-nucleotide ribosomal RNA is filed under the name uncultured bacterium. RNAcentral's name for it is "partial 16S ribosomal RNA". It matches the Rfam family "Bacterial small subunit ribosomal RNA", at positions 338 to 795 of the family's 1533-position model. The record is from RNAcentral.
CCUACGGGUGGCAGCAGUAGGGAAUAUUGCUCAAUGGGGGAAACCCUGAAGCAGCAACGCCGCGUGGAGGAUGAAGGUUUUCGGAUUGUAAACUUCUUUUGUUAGAGAAGAUAAUGACGGUAUCUAACGAAUAAGCACCGGCUAACUCCGUGCCAGCAGCCGCGGUAAUACGGAGGGUGCAAGCGUUACUCGGAAUUACUGGGCGUAAAGGGCGCGUAGGCGGGAUAGCAAGUCAGAUGUGAAAUCCUAUGGCUUAACCAUAGUACUGCAUUUGAAACUGUUUUUCUGGAGUAUGGGAGAGGUAGGUGGAAUUCUUGGUGUAGCGGUAAAAUCCGUAGAGAUCAAGAGGAAUACUCAUGGCGAAGGCGGCCUGCUGGAACGUAACUGACGCUGAGGCGCGAAAGCGUGGGGAGCAAACAGGAUUAGAUACCCCAGUAGUC